This 73-nucleotide transfer RNA is filed under the name Salmo salar (Atlantic salmon). It matches the Rfam family "tRNA". From Rfam's summary of the family: Transfer RNA (tRNA) molecules are approximately 80 nucleotides in length. Lineage: Eukaryota; Metazoa; Chordata; Actinopteri; Salmoniformes; Salmonidae. The record is from Rfam by way of RNAcentral.
AUCCCUGUAGCUCAGUUGGUAGAGCAUGAUGUUUGCAACGCCAGGGUUGUGGGUUCGAUUCCCACGGGGGGCC